Loxodonta africana (African savanna elephant) is the source of this 1340-nucleotide long non-coding RNA. RefSeq lists it as uncharacterized. Lineage: Eukaryota; Metazoa; Chordata; Mammalia; Proboscidea; Elephantidae. The transcript has 5 exons. The record is from RefSeq and is a predicted model, not a curated record.
UGUGGCCCAGGAGCCACGGGCAAGGGGCUGAGGGGAGGGGGGCCCAGUGCCAGCCAUUUAAAAAUGCCCCCAUGCUUGCAAGGGGUGCCAGAGGCCGGGUCAAGUUAGUUGAGAAGCAGUGACACCCCAAUCAUCCCCCCAACGGGCUGACCCCAAUCUCCAGGCCACAAGGAGUCAUCCCUUGACCAGACGUUAAGAGAGAUGCAGAAACUGAGGCCCAAUGACAGAGGCGACUUGCCCGAGAUGGUGCUGCCAGAGAGUGGCCGCCAGCCCUGAGCUUCCUUCUUUGCCUCUUUCCAGCCUUCUAGCCGUGGAUGGAGACUAUGGCAAAGGCACUGGCUGGAAUGGCUGGAAAGAACCAUCCCUACAACUCUGAGAUCAAAGGAGCAAAAACCCCACUGAGGGAGCCUCCUGGGGACCAGAGGAGGGCAGGCAGCCUGGAAACAGAACUCCUCCCCUUCACCCACGCCUCCUGGGAGCUUCCCAACAGAAGACAGAGGUUCUCCCCUGCUCAGUGACAACCGAAGACAGUGGGGAGCAGGGAGGGGAAACAACCAUCGUCCAGGGAAGCAGUCCCCCAGGCCAGCACUUACAGCUGAAAGCGCUGAGAGCCUCAGAUAUCAUCGUUGUGAUUAUUUUAGAUACAAAGGAACAGAAGGAGGCAGCCGAUAGCCAGGGCUGGGACACACCAAGGACCACACAGGAGCUGGAUGCCAAUUCUAUCUUCUGGUCAAAGGCUGCAUCUUAGCUCCUUGUCCCUGCAUCAGAGUCUCUUCUGGGGGAACAUGGUACUGCCUCCCAUCAAGUUUUUGUUUCUAAACUCAGGAGAGAUGUUGUCUUUGCUGUAAGAUUCUUAGCCCAAUGACCUAAACCAAACCUGUGGCUGUUGAGUAGGUUCCAACUCAUAGGGACCCUACAGGACAGAGUAGAACUGCCCCAUAGGGUUACCAAGGAGUGGCUGGUGGAUUCGAACUGCUGACCUUUUAGUUAGCAGCUGAUCUCUUAACCACUGUGCCCCCAGAGCUCCCAGCCCAAAGAAAGGUGGGGUAGAAACAGCUCUCAACCUCCCUGGUUCAAGCCCUGGCUCGGUGACCCAGGACCAGUUGCCUCACCUUUCUGGUCCUCCGUAAGGAGAUAAUAACCCUCCCCUGGCCACCCUCCCCCCCGCCGCCAUGUUCUAAAGAUUAAAUGUGAUAGAACCCUGUUCGCCAAACUUCAGUCAUUUAGGCGACCCCUUUGACACUUUAACCAGAUUUUCAUACAAUCAUAGUAGUUUUCAAUUUAAGAUGUCAUUUUUUAACACUUCAAAAUAAACUUUUUAGAGCUACUGUAAACAAAAA